CCGGUGGCGGCUGGGCAUGCGGCGCAUUAGCUUGACGGCGGGGUAACGGCCCACCGUGGCGACGAUGCGUAGGGGUUCUGAGAGGAAGGCCCCCCACACUGGAACUGAGACACGGUCCAGACUCCUACGGGAGGCAGCAGUGAGGAAUAUUGGUCAAUGGGCGGAAGCCUGAACCAGCCAAGUCGCGUGAGGGAAUAAGGCCCUACGGGUCGUAAACCUCUUUUGCCGGGGAGCAAGGGCCGGGACGCGUCCCGGCCCGGAGAGUACCCGGAGAAAAAGCAUCGGCUAACUCCGUGCCAGCAGCCGCGGUAAUACGGAGGAUGCGAGCGUUAUCCGGAUUUAUUGGGUUUAAAGGGUGCGUAGGCGGGCUUUUAAGUCAGCGGUAAAAAUUCGGGGCUCAACCCCGUCCGGCCGUUGAAACUGGGGGCCUUGAGUGGGCGAGAAGAAGGCGGAAUGCGUGGUGUAGCGGUGAAAUGCAUAGAUAUCACGCAGAACCCCGAUUGCGAAGGCAGCCUUCCGGCGCCCUACUGACGCUGAGGCACGAAAGUGCGGGGAUCGAACAGGAUUAGAUACCCUGGUAGUCCGCACAG
This 590-nucleotide ribosomal RNA is filed under the name uncultured bacterium. Its description in RNAcentral is "bacterial SSU rRNA". It matches the Rfam family "Bacterial small subunit ribosomal RNA", at positions 215 to 802 of the family's 1533-position model. The record is from RNAcentral.